RNAcentral lists this ribosomal RNA (382 nucleotides) under uncultured bacterium. Its description in RNAcentral is "partial 16S ribosomal RNA". It matches the Rfam family "Bacterial small subunit ribosomal RNA", at positions 338 to 734 of the family's 1533-position model. The record is from RNAcentral.
CCUACGGGAGGCAGCAGUGGGGAAUAUUGGGCAAUGGAGGCAACUCUGACCCAGCAACGCCGCGUGUAUGAUGAAGGUCUUCGGAUUGUAAAGUUCUUUUCUAAGGGAAGAAGAAAGUGACGUUACCUUAGGAAUCAGCCUCGGCUAACUACGUGCCAGCAGCCGCGGUAAUACGUAGGAGGCAAGCGUUAUCCGGAAUGACUGGGCGUAAAGGUUGCGUAGGUGGUUUGACAAGUUAGUAGCGCAACUCCGUAGAUCAACUUCGGAACUACUACUAAAACUGUUGGACUUGAGUUCCGGAGAGGCAAUCAGAAUUCCUAGUGUAGCGGUGGAAUGCGUAGAGAUUAGGAGGAACACCAGUGGCGAAGGCGGAUUGCUAGAC